AAAUUGAAGAGUUUGAUCAUGGCUCAGAUUGAACGCUGGCGGCAGGCCUAACACAUGCAAGUCGAGCGGUAGCACAGAGAGCUUGCUCUCGGGUGACGAGCGGCGGACGGGUGAGUAAUGUCUGGGAAACUGCCUGAUGGAGGGGGAUAACUACUGGAAACGGUAGCUAAUACCGCAUAACGUCGCAAGACCAAAGUGGGGGACCUUCGGGCCUCAUGCCAUCAGAUGUGCCCAGAUGGGAUUAGCUAGUAGGUGGGGUAACGGCUCACCUAGGCGACGAUCCCUAGCUGGUCUGAGAGGAUGACCAGCCACACUGGAACUGAGACACGGUCCAGACUCCUACGGGAGGCAGCAGUGGGGAAUAUUGCACAAUGGGCGCAAGCCUGAUGCAGCCAUGCCGCGUGUGUGAAGAAGGCCUUCGGGUUGUAAAGCACUUUCAGCGGGGAGGAAGGCGAUAAGGUUAAUAACCUUGUCGAUUGACGUUACCCGCAGAAGAAGCACCGGCUAACUCCGUGCCAGCAGCCGCGGUAAUACGGAGGGUGCAAGCGUUAAUCGGAAUUACUGGGCGUAAAGCGCACGCAGGCGGUCUGUCAAGUCGGAUGUGAAAUCCCCGGGCUCAACCUGGGAACUGCAUUCGAAACUGGCAGGCUAGAGUCUUGUAGAGGGGGGUAGAAUUCCAGGUGUAGCGGUGAAAUGCGUAGAGAUCUGGAGGAAUACCGGUGGCGAAGGCGGCCCCCUGGACAAAGACUGACGCUCAGGUGCGAAAGCGUGGGGAGCAAACAGGAUUAGAUACCCUGGUAGUCCACGCCGUAAACGAUGUCGAUUUGGAGGUUGUGCCCUUGAGGCGUGGCUUCCGGAGCUAACGCGUUAAAUCGACCGCCUGGGGAGUACGGCCGCAAGGUUAAAACUCAAAUGAAUUGACGGGGGCCCGCACAAGCGGUGGAGCAUGUGGUUUAAUUCGAUGCAACGCGAAGAACCUUACCUGGUCUUGACAUCCACAGAACUUUCCAGAGAUGGAUUGGUGCCUUCGGGAACUGUGAAACAGGUGCUGCAUGGCUGUCGUCAGCUCGUGUUGUGAAAUGUUGGGUUAAGUCCCGCAACGAGCGCAACCCUUAUCCUUUGUUGCCAGCGGUUAGGCCGGGAACUCAAAGGAGACUGCCAGUGAUAAACUGGAGGAAGGUGGGGAUGACGUCAAGUCAUCAUGGCCCUUACGACCAGGGCUACACACGUGCUACAAUGGCAUAUACAAAGAGAAGCGACCUCGCGAGAGCAAGCGGACCUCAUAAAGUAUGUCGUAGUCCGGAUUGGAGUCUGCAACUCGACUCCAUGAAGUCGGAAUCGCUAGUAAUCGUAGAUCAGAAUGCUACGGUGAAUACGUUCCCGGGCCUUGUACACACCGCCCGUCACACCAUGGGAGUGGGUUGCAAAAGAAGUAGGUAGCUUAACCUUCGGGAGGGCGCUUACCACUUUGUGAUUCAUGACUGGGGUGAAGUCGUAACAAGGUAACCGUAGGGGAACCUGCGGUUGGAUCACCUCCUUACCUUAAAGAA
This 1550-nucleotide ribosomal RNA is filed under the name Klebsiella pneumoniae. RNAcentral describes it as "bacterial SSU rRNA". It matches the Rfam family "Bacterial small subunit ribosomal RNA". Lineage: Bacteria; Pseudomonadati; Pseudomonadota; Gammaproteobacteria; Enterobacterales; Enterobacteriaceae. The record is from RNAcentral.